ACGGUAGCCCAGGAAUAAGCCUCGGCUAACUACGUGCCAGCAGCCGCGGUAAAACGUAGGAGGCGAGCGUUAUCCGGAUUUACUGGGCGUAAAGCGCGUGCAGGCGGUUUGGUAAGUUGGAUGUGAAAUCUCCCGGCUUAACUGGGAGGGGUCAUUCAAUACUGCCAGACUUGAGGGCGGAAGAGGGGAGUGGAAUUUCCGGUGUAGUGGUGAAAUGCGUAGAUAUCGGAAGGAACACCAGUGGCGAAGGCGGCUCCCUGGUCCGUGCCUGACGCUAAGACGCGAAAGCUAGGGGAGCGAAUGGGAUUAGAAACCCCAGUAGUCCUAGCCGUAAACGUUGGAUACUAGGUGUAGGGAGUAUUGACCCUCUCUGUGCCGAAGCUAACGCGUUAAGUAUCCCGCCUGGGGACUACGGCCGCAAGGUUAAAACUCAAAGGAAUUGACGGGGACCCGCACAAGCAGCGGAGCGUGUGGUUUAAUUCGAUGCAACACGAAGAACCUUACCAGGGUUUGACAUGUAGGUAGUAGUGAAGCGAAAGCGGAACGAUCCUUCGGGAAGCCUGCGCAGGUGCUGCAUGGCUGUCGUCAGCUCGUGCCGUGAGGUGUUAGGUUAAGUCCUGUAACGAGCGCAACCCUUGCCGUUAGUUAUACGUGUCUAACGGGACUGCCGGUGUAAACCGGAGGAAGGUGGGGAUGACGUCAAGUCAGCAUGGCCUUUAUGUCCUGGGCUACACACACGCUACAAUGGCCGGUACAAUGGGUCGCCAAGCCGCGAGGCGGAGCUAAUCCUCUAAAGCCGGUCUCAGUUCGAAUUGCAGGCUGCAACUCGCCUGCAUGAAGCUGGAGUUGCUAGUAACCGCGCGUCAGCAAUAGUGCGGUGAAUACGUUCCCGGGUCUUGUACACACCGCCCGUCACGUCAUGAAAGCUGGUAACACCUGAAGCCGGUGGGCUAACCGAAAGGAGGCAGCCGUCGAAGGUGGGACUGGUGAUUGGGACGAAGUCGUAACAAGGUAACC
Molecule: ribosomal RNA, 1017 nt
Filed under: uncultured bacterium
Lineage: Bacteria
Description: bacterial SSU rRNA
Rfam family: Bacterial small subunit ribosomal RNA
Source: RNAcentral